Long non-coding RNA from Bos taurus (domestic cattle), 1482 nucleotides. Lineage: Eukaryota; Metazoa; Chordata; Mammalia; Artiodactyla; Bovidae. The record is from Ensembl.
UCCUUGGUGGGUAGUCCCGGGCCUCGCUGGGGCUGGGGCCAAUGUCGGAGAAUCCAGAUUCCUUUUUCCUUUUGUUUGUCAUCUGGUGGGGGAGGCAGGUGCACAGCCCUGCUUGGGAACACCUAAUGAGCUGUGGGUGGUCCCCAGCGUGCCCACCAUUCCUUGGCCACCAAGUGGAUUGGACUGACCGUCCUGGAUCGUGUUUCAGCCCUCUCCGCAGAAGGGGCCAAGUUGAGGCUUUGAGCAGAGAGGCCUGAACCAAGAGCAUCACUCUUCCCUGCGCCUCCCUCUCUCCCGCGGUGGCUCCCUAGAGCUGCGGCUGCAGAAAGACACCAGGGCUGACAUUGACCGAGGGCCCUGGGCUCACAGGCCUGUGGGCUUAAAGAUGGUAAAGUCACAGAAAUCAGAUCAUCAGCCGGCCUCCCCAUCUGGCCCCAGAAGCUGCCCUCACAUUCCAGCGCCCAAAGGACCAACUGCCCAGGUUGGAGGCUGCUCUAGAGGCCUAACCCUGGUGAGGUAUGCACGCGGGCAGUUGCCCACAGAGAGGUGGGCCUUUUGUUACUGCCUCACCCCGACAGUCGUCAUCCUGUCUGCUCAGAGCUGGAGCUGACUUCUCUCUGGGAUCAGUGCCUGGCUGGUGGCUCGGCCUUGGACUGACCAAAUGCUCAAGAGACUGACCCCCCCGAAGGAAAAUAAAGCAGGACUCGGAUCCCUGCCCUGAAUACAUGAGCCAAACAAGGGAUUUCAGUCGCCUGCACUGGGUUCGUGUGGCAGGAGUGCUCUGUUGAGAGGAAAGAAGGCGGGGCUGGAGGAACGGUGCCUCCCGCGUGUUCUCUGUGCCUGUGGGUGUACGUCGCUCCUCCGCACACGCGCCCGUGUGUGCCCAUCUGCUGCACACAGCAUGUCUUGCACUGGCAGAUGCAUCUGUAAUAUACUUUCUAUGUUUAUUUAAGGCUCUGAGCAGAAUGCGGCCCGUUGUCACUGGGUCCAUGUUUCUCCCUGCUCCUUUGCACUAAGUCAUUGUAACCCAGGGCUUAAACGAUGAUUUGGUACUGUUCUUCAGAACACUUUUAUGGAGUUCAUGGGAGGCCAUUCACAGAGCAGCAUGUUUUCCUUCAGCAUCUGUGUGCUGAGACCUGGAGGGUAGGGGUUUCAAGGGCACCUCACCACCACCUUGCAGGCUCACAGUGGGCUUAGCCUCACUGGGGCCCAGCUUCAUUGGGGUGGGCCCAGCUUCACUGGGGGUGGGCCCAGCUUCACUGGGGGUGGACCCAGCUUCAUUGGGGGUGGACCCAGCUUCACUGGGGUCGACCCAACUUCUUCGGGGUGGGCCCAUAUUCACCCCAUUGCUGAGGGUUUUGGUUGGCAUCAUUGUUUCUGAAUGUAGCACAAGGGAUGGAUAAACUCCAUAAGAGUGUUUUAAAAAUUAACUUCCCAGGAAGUGAGUUAAAAUCAAUAAAAGCCCUUUCUUGAGUUUAAAAA